Molecule: ribosomal RNA, 762 nt
Filed under: Triticum aestivum (bread wheat)
Lineage: Eukaryota; Viridiplantae; Streptophyta; Magnoliopsida; Poales; Poaceae
Description: partial small subunit ribosomal RNA
Source: RNAcentral
AUGCCCAACGCCCCCUCGAUCUCCUUGGUCGACGCCGAGCUGGUGCGGGCCGACGCCCUCCCCAUCGUGGCAGUAGGACGGCGGCGCUCGACGCCCGCAUCUCCUCCCUGCUCCAUUGGCGGCCAGGAUUGGUACCUCAGCGUCCCAGUCCGUCUGAAGUCUGCGUUUUCUGACUCUCUGAGUGUAGACAAUACUGAAGUUGCUGCCUCCAUUGCCGGAAGUUUCACGAGGAAGUUGAUUGAGGUUUUCUUGGAGAUGUCGGGCAGAACGGGUCUGAGCUGGGUACUCCCAGUUGGAGAGAGACAAAUUAGUUGUAGUGUUAAUGUUGAUAAAGUUGGCGAACAUUUGUCAGCGGGUGAUAGUUUGAUUUCUCAGCUUUUGGCCGGUCUAUCAGAACCUACCUCUGGUUCAAUUUGCAUUCAGAAGUAUGAUGAUAGUGGAAAUCCAAUGGGUCUGUCGGAAGUGUUAGCUCCUCAAAGAGUUGGUAUUGUUGGUCAAAGUGCCAUUUCAUUGGAUAAGGAUCCACAGUCUCUCAGUGGUGGGUUUAAGCGGCGACUUGCUUUGGCAAUUCAACUGGUUCAAACUCCUGAUUUAUUGUUGCUUGAUGAGCCCCUCGCUGGACUUGAUUGGAAAGCUCGGGCUGAUGUUAUGAAUCUCCUGAGGGACCUAAAGAAAGACCACACCAUACUGGUUGUAAGUCAUGACCUAAGCUGGAAUGCUGACCCAUUUGUUGUUGCAGUGAACAGGCUCAUAGCUAGCUAG